Molecule: transfer RNA, 70 nt
Filed under: Chthamalus stellatus
Lineage: Eukaryota; Metazoa; Arthropoda; Thecostraca; Balanomorpha; Chthamalidae
Description: tRNA-Met
Source: RNAcentral
UUUAAAAAGAUAAGCUAAUUUAAAGCUUUUGGGUUCAUACCCCAACGAUAGUGGUUACACUWCUUUUUAA